This 160-nucleotide ribosomal RNA is filed under the name Mycobilimbia tetramera. RNAcentral describes it as "5.8S ribosomal RNA". It matches the Rfam family "5.8S ribosomal RNA". Rfam says of the family: 5.8S ribosomal RNA (5.8S rRNA) is a component of the large subunit of the eukaryotic ribosome. It is transcribed by RNA polymerase I as part of the 45S precursor that also contains 18S and 28S rRNA. Functionally, it is thought that 5.8S rRNA may be involved in ribosome translocation. The record is from RNAcentral. Lineage: Eukaryota; Fungi; Ascomycota; Lecanoromycetes; Lecideales; Lecideaceae.
AAAACUUUCAACAACGGAUCUCUUGGCUCUGGCAUCGAUGAAGAACGCAGCGAAAUGCGAUAAGUAAUGUGAAUUGCAGAAUUCAGUGAAUCAUCGAAUCUUUGAACGCACAUUGCGCCCCUCGGUAUUCCGGGGGGCAUGCCUGUUCGAGCGUCAUUGC